UACGUAGGGGGCUAGCGUUGUCCGGAAUCAUUGGGCGUAAAGCGCGUGUAGGCGGUCCGGUAAGUCCGCUGCGAAAGCCAGGGGCUCAACCCUUGGAUGCCGGUGGAUACUGUCGGGCUUGAGUACGGAAGAGGCGAGUGGAAUUCCUGGUGUAGCGGUGAAAUGCGCAGAUAUCAGGAGGAACACCAAUUGCGAAGGCAGCUCGCUGGGACGUUACUGACGCUGAGACGCGAAAGCGUGGGGAGCAAACAGG
RNAcentral lists this ribosomal RNA (253 nucleotides) under uncultured bacterium. Its description in RNAcentral is "partial 16S ribosomal RNA". It matches the Rfam family "Bacterial small subunit ribosomal RNA", at positions 524 to 776 of the family's 1533-position model. The record is from RNAcentral.